This 450-nucleotide ribosomal RNA is filed under the name uncultured bacterium. RNAcentral describes it as "bacterial SSU rRNA". It matches the Rfam family "Bacterial small subunit ribosomal RNA", at positions 64 to 507 of the family's 1533-position model. The record is from RNAcentral.
GAGGGGCAUCAUGGUGUAGCAAUACACUGAUGGCGACCGGCAAACGGGUGCGGAACACGUACGCAAUCUACCUCUUUCAGGGGCAUAGCCCGGAGAAAUCCGGAUUAACUCCCCAUAAGAUAAUGGAGUGGCAUCACUCAGUUAUUAAAACUCAGGUGGAAAGAGAUGAGCGUGCGUCCCAUUAGCUAGUUGGUAGGGUAAUGGCCUACCAAGGCAACGAUGGGUAGCUGGUGUGAGAGCACGACCAGCCACACGGGCACUGAGACACGGGCCCGACUCCUACGGGAGGCAGCAGUGAGGAAUAUUGGUCAAUGGACGCAAGUCUGAACCAGCCAUGCCGCGUGAAGGAUGAAGGCGUUCUGCGUUGUAAACUUCUUUUAUCUGGGAAGAAACCUUUCUUUUCUAAGGAAGCCGACGGUACCAGAGGAAUAAGCACCGGCUAACUCCGUG